CAUGGUUUUGACCCAACCAACAAAUCCGGCAAUAUAGCUCAAUGGAACCCCAGAAAUCUCAAACACAGUAGCUUACAUGGCAAGGACUCGACAAAAGAACAGCCCCAAUAAAGCAGAAAGACGGUGAAUCCAGGGCUUAGAAGCACUUCCGGUGAACAAUUGCUGGGCCUGACUCAUCAUACUCACCCUUCGAGAUCCACAUCUGCCAUAUAAACAUCAGAGCAUACUGUUAGUAUACUGACAAAAAUAAAGCAUAGUGCAACUACUGCAACAUAGGAAAAUCUGAUAGUUGAGCAACAGAGAAGUGUAAAUCUUGACCUGUUGGAAGGUGCUAAGGGAGGCAAGGAUGGACCCUCCAAUCCAGACACUGUAUUUCCUCUCAGGUGGUGCCACCACCUUAAUCUUCAUACUGCUUGGUGCAAGGGCAGUGAUCUCCUUGCUCAUGCGGUCAGCAAUACCAGGGAACAUGGUUGAGCCACCGCUGAGCACAAUGUUACCAUAGAGGUCCUUCCUAAUAUCCACAUCACACUUCAUGAUAGAGUUGUAGGUGGUCUCAUGGAUUCCAGGCGACUCCAUACCAAUGAAUGAAGGCUGGAAAAGGACCUCAGGGCAUCUGAACCUCUCUGCCCCGAUGGUGAUCACCUGCCCAUCAGGCAGCUCAUAGCUCUUCUCCACAGAGGAGCUGGUCUUAGCAGUCUCAAGCUCCUGCUCAUAGUCAAGUGCCACAUAGGCGAGCUUCUCCUUGAUGUCCCUUACAAUUUCCCGCUCGGCAGUGGUGGUGAAGGAGUAACCCCUCUCAGUAAGAAUCUUCAUCAGACUGUCAGUGAGAUCACGUCCAGCAAGGUCAAGACGGAGAAUGGCGUGCGGAAGGGCAUAACCUUCAUAGAUUGGCACGGUAUGGCUCACACCAUCACCAGAGUCCAACACGAUACCUGCAGGAACAACAACAUACUACCAGCUGAGAUGGAAGAACCUUAUACAUUUCAAAAUGCACUUUCAUGAAAAUGGAUAAUCACUUGCACACCUGUUGUGCGUCCACUGGCGUAGAGGGAAAGCACAGCCUGAAUGGCGACAUACAUGGCCGGCACAUUGAAUGUCUCAAACAUGAUCUGGGUCAUCUUCUCCCUGUUAGCCUUGGGGUUCAGGGGGGCCUCGGUCAGCAGCACUGGGUGCUCCUCGGGCGCGACACGGAGCUCGUUGUAGAAGGUGUGAUGCCAAAUCUUCUCCAUGUCGUCCCAGUUGCUGACGAUACCGUGCUCGAUCGGGUACUUCAGGGUGAGGAUACCCCUCUUGGACUGGGCCUCAUCGCCAACAUAGGCGUCCUUCUGCCCCAUUCCCACCAUCACGCCGGUGUGGCGCGGGCGUCCAACAAUACUCGGGAAGACAGCCCUCGGCGCAUCAUCCCCUGCGAAACCGGCCU
This 1420-nucleotide long non-coding RNA is filed under the name Setaria viridis. Its description in RNAcentral is "long non-coding RNA (SVIR_LNC008553)". The record is from RNAcentral. Lineage: Eukaryota; Viridiplantae; Streptophyta; Magnoliopsida; Poales; Poaceae.